UGCCCNCUGAUAAUAAAUUAAAGGGCUGCAGUAUUUUGACUGUACAAAGGUAGCAUAAUCAUUUGUCAUUUAAUUGAUGACUAGUAUGAAAGAUUGGAUGAAAUAUAAACUGUCUUAAUAAUAAAUAUAAAAUUUAAUUUUUUAAUUAAAAAGUUAAAAUAAAUUAAAAAGACGAGAAGACCCUAUAGAGUUUUAUUUAUUGUUUGAUGAAAAUUUUUUGUUAAAUUUUUACUAAUUUUAAUUAGGGAAUAAAUUUUAUUGGGGUGAUAAAAAAAUUUAAGGAACUUUUUAAAGAUAAAAACAUAAAUAAGUGAGUUAAUGAUCCAAUUUUAAUGAUUAAAAGAAAAAAUUACCUUAGGGAUAACAGCGUAAUUUUUUUUUUUAGUUCUUAUAAAAAAAAAAGUUUGCGACCUCGAUGUUGGAUUAAGAUAAAAUUUAAAUGCAGAAGUUUAAAGUUUUGA
RNAcentral lists this ribosomal RNA (461 nucleotides) under Lacida vertiginosa. Its description in RNAcentral is "partial large subunit ribosomal RNA". The record is from RNAcentral. Lineage: Eukaryota; Metazoa; Arthropoda; Insecta; Lepidoptera; Erebidae.